This 468-nucleotide ribosomal RNA is filed under the name uncultured bacterium. RNAcentral's name for it is "partial 16S ribosomal RNA". It matches the Rfam family "Bacterial small subunit ribosomal RNA", at positions 28 to 507 of the family's 1533-position model. The record is from RNAcentral.
GACGAACGCUGGCGGCGUGCUUAACACAUGCAAGUCGAACGGAAAGGCCCUGCUUUUGUGGGGUGCUCGAGUGGCGAACGGGUGAGUAACACGUGAGUAACCUGCCCUUGACUUUGGGAUAACUUCAGGAAACUGGGGCUAAUACCGGAUAGGAGCUCCUGCUGCAUGGUGGGGGUUGGAAAGUUUCGGCGGUUGGGGAUGGACUCGCGGCUUAUCAGCUUGUUGGUGGGGUAGUGGCUUACCAAGGCUUUGACGGAUAGCCGGCCUGAGAGGGUGACCGGCCACAUUGGGACUGAGAUACGGCCCAGACUCCUACGGGAGGCAGCAGUGGGGAAUACUGCACAAUGGGCGGAAGCCUGAUGCAGCAACGCCGCGUGCGGGAUGACGGCCUUCGGGUUGUAAACCGCUUUCGCCUGUGACGAAGCGUGAGUGACGGUAAUGGGUAAAGAAGCACCGGCUAACUACGUG